CCUACGGGAGGCAGCAGUGAGGAAUAUUGGUCAAUGGACGCGAGUCUGAACCAGCCAAGUAGCGUGAAGGAUGACUGCUCUAUGGGUUGUAAACUUCUUUUAUAUGGGAAUAAAAUGUUCCACGUGUGGCUUUUUGUAUGUACUUUAUGAAUAAGGAUCGGCUAACUCCGUGCCAGCAGCCGCGGUAAUACGGAGGAUCCGAGCGUUAUCCGGAUUUAUUGGGUUUAAAGGGAGCGUAGGUGGGUGGUUAAGUCAGUUGUGAAAGUUGUCGGCUCAACCGUCAAAUUGCAGUUGAAACUGGCAGUCUUGAGUACAGUUGAGGUUGGCGGAAUUCGUGGUGUAGCGGU
This 347-nucleotide ribosomal RNA is filed under the name uncultured bacterium. RNAcentral describes it as "partial 16S ribosomal RNA". It matches the Rfam family "Bacterial small subunit ribosomal RNA", at positions 338 to 682 of the family's 1533-position model. The record is from RNAcentral.